UUUGCCUAAGAUUAUACAGAUAUUACUGUAUCGGUUAUACAGAUAACUAUUAUACAGAUAACAAAACCAGAAUUAAAGUCAGAUUGUCUUUUUUUUCUUAAACAUUCAGCUCUUUUAUUAUGUGACAAUAAAUGAAGCUAUUUAAUAGAAAGGUGGAAAGAGGGAGCAGAACAAAAGUCCAAGAAGAAAUGUGCAUCUCUUCAAAAUCAUUUCCCCCCUUUUUUUCACCAUGUCUGCCUUUGCCAACCAAAGAGAUGGGUCCUGGACUGGUGAUGUGUCAAGGCUGGCAACUGAUUGGCAGUUUGGAGGAAUGGCUGGCCCCAUUUCCAUGGAAGUUGCUUCCCUGGAUGCUAAUUGAGAGGGAAUUGGCACAGAAAGACACGAUUUUCCCAAGAAAUUGUUAAUAUUGUAGACCUUGGAGUUCCACAAGUAAUAACUAGAAGUUGGAAGAAGAAUAUACCACCUUUCUCUCUCACUUCAAUCUCCCUACCCUCAACAUAGACAGGCAGGGAACAGGGGACCAAGAGAGUAAUUUCAUAUGAAGAGCUCUCAUAUUUCAGACUUUUAGUGACUAGAGAUUUGUAUACAUCUUUGAAAUUAAUAGUUGCUCAUUUAAGGUUUUGCUUUUUCUUUCCAGUAAGUCUUUUUUCUGUGUAAGGAGAGAAUAUCAUAUGUACUUUACCCCAGAUAACCUGUGAAAAAUAAGAGUGAAAAAAUUCCCUAAUGUACCUAAGCCCUUGGUGUCGUUAAUGAAUGCAAGCAUUUUCAAAAGCUAGUAUGAUUUCAGUCUCUGAAUCAUCAUAACUUCUGUAGCAAGGGAAAUUACAGGGUGCAAAGAGUUUUGAUUGACAAGCCCUCAAGACUCAGAAUUCUUCCAUUGCUGACAGGAAAAGUUCCAAACUGUUGAAGACAGUUCCCCAACUGACAGUCUGGAGCUGGGAAGUGAAGCCUGAAGGGUGCAGAUCUAAUCUCUCCAGGACCCUCUUGGACAUCUUGGAAGCAGCCAUCAAGCAAGAGUGAGCAGGAGUUUCCCUCAAUACCCUCUGGUGGACAGAGAGAAAAAUUGGAGGAAAUCAGUCUCUCUUUUGGACAUCUGAGAACUCAGCUGGAUUCCUGUAGCUGACCCAUCAAAGGAUUCACUGAGUGUGAAAAAUUUGGUUACCUGUUGGACUUGCCUUUAGGAAUUUAUGUAAUUAGUUAAGGUAGUUAAAUAGUAUGUUUAAUUAGAAGGUAAAGCAGUCAGAUUUCCUUUCUCCCACUUUCCUUCCUCCCUUCAUCCCUUCUCUGUUAAUAAAUUCAAUAUUAUUUAUAUGUGCUAUUUUCCC
RNAcentral lists this long non-coding RNA (1325 nucleotides) under Monodelphis domestica (gray short-tailed opossum). Its description in RNAcentral is "lncRNA (ENSMODG00000051373.1)". The record is from RNAcentral. Lineage: Eukaryota; Metazoa; Chordata; Mammalia; Didelphimorphia; Didelphidae.